CUCCCUCUCACUCCAUCUCCUAUAUGCAAUCAGAUUAGUCUAAGUAUCACCGCUUCGUUCCUUGGAAUUAUACCAACCCUGAUCUUUAUUAAUCUUCUUUCUCUCCAUCGGUCGUCCCGUCCUCCCUCUCACUCCAUCUCCUAUAUGCAGCUUAUGCAUGCCUCCGUUGGUCGGCGGUGGUGGUCUCCCAUGAAGAUGAAGAUUUUAUGACGUAUCUGGUUACGCCGACGGUGACAAAGGUAUUGGAUUCAAAUGAUGCACAAAUCAGAUGCCGACAACUCCAUCUCAGGUCCAUCAAACAUUUGCAACUUUUGGAUUUGAUGGUGCUUUUAACUUCUGGGAUACUGACGGCAAACAAAGAUUGAAUGUAUUUCUAUUAGACAUGUGAGAAAAUGACAUGUCACCUUUUUGAGAUUAUUAUUUAUCAAAAUCUAAUUAUUGUUUGACAGGCGAUGUCAAGAUGCAGUGCACCUAUACCUUGUAGCAGUUUCAACGAUGAUUUUGUUUGUUUGUAUUGUUAGGUUGUUGAAUUUUUGAUUGCAUUACACAGAGCAUUCUUGGAAUUCAUAAGCUUCUAUAGGAAUGGAGGUAUCUUCGAUUUAGGUCAUGUCUUCUUAGUCGUAUGUUCCUUUCUACACUCCGACACAACACACUUUGUAUACCCAAAUAGGUCUAGAUCAUUUUCUUAGCAUUUGUCUCAUUUUCUUACAAUUUGUUAUCUUUACAAGUUACACCUAAGCAUUAUCUAAUUGAAGUGAAAAAGGGGCAAGGAAAGUGAACUCUUAGCAUUUACAUGUUACAUCUAACCAUUUAUGUGACAUGUUUUUCUCUUCACCCCUGAUUUUAGGGCUGCUUAUCACGAUUUUUUUUUGUUAUGUGAUGAGAAAUUGAAACAGAACAAACAACAGUGGAUGACUGAUAGAGAAAACUGGAAUUGAAAUUGAUGAUCGAAUGAGACAAGAUAGAGAAUACAAUCUCCUGAUAGGAUGAUUGCCCAGGGAUGAAUCCCUCUCUCAAAGGCCUAGCCAAUGAGCCAAUGUCACUCUAGCGACUAACACCAAUCUAACAAAGCAACCCUACACUCUAAUUAUUAGCAAACCUCUAACAAACUCUAUUUAGGAAUUACCCUUUUAAGUAUUUAACUAUCUAAUUCCUAUCAUUAUGUUGCUGAAACAGAUUUUUAACACUUUGGAUCACAAGAGGACACUACAAAGGUAACUAGUGUGCUUUAAAUAUUGGUGAUAAUUCAUAAUUUUUUUGCAAUUCUUGCCCUUUACUAAUUUUCAUUGCAUAUAUAAUUCUGUGAGAACAUCUUCUUGCUCAUUCUACCUGUUAGUGGUGCAUACAUGGCCUGUUUUGACAUAAUUCUCCUUUUAAGUAACAAAAGAAGUGGUCAUAAUGCUUUACGUCAUGAUUGGCUCCUUAGCUGUUAUCAACUCUUAGUAUGGAAUUUUCGUAAGCCGAUGACCAUCAUCAUCUUCAUUGUCGGUAAUCACCACAACCCUAUCCCAGCGCUAUAAGCAUCUCCGACACAUUACAACAGGAGCGAGAGAAGGUUCGAUAGAGAUUCAAUAAAAAAAACUCUCGUUUAGUACAUGUGUUCGUUCCAUUGUGUCGGCAAACAAAAAAAAAUCAAGAAUCCCUUCCUAAGAGGUUCGUCCCUAUUAUGUUAUAAUUAAUUGCUUUUUUGUUUUUAAAUCCAUACAAUGUUUAUAUAUUAAUACCAUCACAAGUAUCAUCGUCGCUUAGAGAUUUUGGUCGACAAAAAAGUUGAUUGUUUACUUUUUAUUUUUUAAAACCAUAUUACUUACGGUUCAUAAUUUUCUUAAAAAGCAAGCUGUUUUUCAUUAUUGACUAACAUCUCACUUUUAUUUAUUGAUUAUAGACUAGGAAACAUACGGAGUUUGUGGAUAGUUGUGUUGAGCUUAGAAUGUAUUUCUAAAAUGAAUCACUAACGUUUGUUAGAGUAUUUUAUCGUAGGAUUUGAUAAUGUGUAUAUUUUUUGUCAGAGACAUGAGCAUUGCAUAUAUUAGAUGAUGAAGAUAAAUGUAUUCUCAUAUAAUAGUAUUCUUACAUAAUGUAAUUCUCGUCGGAUGUUAGUCUCACAUAAUGUCAUUUUCGUAAGAAUGGUUAGAAUCAAGUCGACUCUGGACUAUUGAAGAAGAUCAAAUGCAUUUUUUCAAGAAUUGUAUAUACAAGCAUGUUAUGUUUUUUAAGAAUUUAUUUCAUUUUUAUGACAUUCUGUUAUAA
Molecule: non-coding RNA, 2250 nt
Organism: Lactuca sativa (garden lettuce)
Lineage: Eukaryota; Viridiplantae; Streptophyta; Magnoliopsida; Asterales; Asteraceae
Source: RefSeq, a predicted model, not a curated record